GCCACCAGCAGCUGGUAUGUGGCUGUGCCAAGGGUAGCCCCCACCAAAGGGGCCACCACAGGCACCCACCACCAGCCAUUGCCAGCACUGCAAGAGAAGGACAAAAGAGACGCAUCAGGAAUGGUUCCCUUAGUCUCCCCUCUCCUCAAGGACUGAGCCAGUAACCAAGGGAGCUCCCUAAAGUAGUUCCUGGAGUGAAAGACACCAGGAAGAGAGAGGAGAGACCACCAGAAGAACUUAGUCCAGCCUCUAGCCUUAGGGAAUUAUCUGAAUAUACCCAUUUGCUGAUGAGCACACUGAUGCAAGGUGUAUCUGAGGGACAAGCAGCAAGGUCCUGAGUGGAGUUGACACCAGAGAGCUUCAGGUGUGAGGCGUCAGAGGACAGUACUUACCGUCAUUGCCCUGGCAUAGAUUUCUGCUAAGACACCCACUGCCACAUACACGUCCCACCCCUUCCGAUGACCAGACCCCACCCUGCUCACCUGAGACAUUGCCCGCCACGUAGAUGGCUAUUGUAACUGCCAGAGAACCAGCCAGAAACAUGGUGAAGAAGUUCCCUUUGGUUUCUCCACUGGUGACAGCCUGGGCCACAGCCCCCUGAGUGAGGAGCUGGCAGGGAGAGGAAAGUUACUGCCUACCAUGAGCACAAAUACACCCAGAAACUCUGCCAAGCACUGUCGGGCCAGGAGGCUGUGGAUCCGAAAGUAGCCCCUCAUUUUGGCCAGCAGCUGAUCCGGGGCCAUGGUGGUGUCUUGCU
Molecule: non-coding RNA, 757 nt
Organism: Ictidomys tridecemlineatus (thirteen-lined ground squirrel)
Lineage: Eukaryota; Metazoa; Chordata; Mammalia; Rodentia; Sciuridae
Source: RefSeq, a predicted model, not a curated record